GUUCGCGUUGGCCUUCCUCAUGUGAGGAGAAACGUCAGCCAGAUAUUAGGAUCUCAAGGAAAAACUUCAGCCAGAUUGUAGCGAAUUUAAACCAAAAUCGUCCCCAAAUUCAAGCAAAACACGAGGGAAUUCAUUUCGAACUCCGCGAUCUUGGAAUCAAAACCGUUCUCUGGUAGUACCACUUUUGGAUCCCUCUCCCCGCGCAUCUGCGCAAGACUCCGAUUCUUCCCCACGCUCCCCUGUCUCCUCCGCUCCGAAUUCGACACACAGCGCUGUGAUCUUCGGGUAGAUCUAGUGGGUCCCCGGAGCUGCCCCCGCGGCUCUAGAAGCAUAGCGGAGGAGGAGGCGGCGGCGGCGGCGACGGGAGAGGUAGCUGCGACAGUGGGGUUGGUGUGUUGCUGGGGGCCGCGCGAUGGCGUACCGGCCGUACCCGCCGCCUCAGGGGGCCUUCCCGCCGCAGGCCCGGCCUGUCAACCCGUACGGGCAGCCGCCGCCGCCGCAGGCAGGAUACGGCCAGAUGCCACCGCCACCGUUUCACGCGCCGCCUCCGCCCGGACCGCCCCCGCCGCACCAGCCUCAGUACAACUUCGGCCACGCGCCCCCGCAGCAGCAGCAACAGCCGCCGCCGCCGCCGCCCCAGAUGUAUUACCAGCCCCCACCGCCGCCGUAUGGCGGGAACAACAAUCAAGCGCCCCCUCCACCACCGCCAAUGUCUCCUCCCCCUUCGGCACCGCCACCACCUCCUGCCCAGCCACCCCCACGGGUGGCUCUGCCGCCACCAAAGGAGCAGCAGGCCAAGGCGGCACUGCCUAGAGUGGAGACGGAGGAGGAGCGGCGAGCAAGGAAGAAGCGCGAGUAUGAGAAGCAGAAGGCUGAGGACAGGAAGCAGCAGCAGAUGAUGCGCCAGUCGCAGGCCACCAUUCUGCAGAAGACACAGCAGGUGCGCGCUGCGCAACAGCAGCAGCAGCCACAGCCUCAGAGCCGGCACCUCCAGCCAUCAGGCGGUACUCGGGUGGCGACAACUGUGUCUCGCCCAGCCUCCGCAGCAAACACUGAGAGGUUCGAGAAUCGGCUCAAGAAGCCGACAACGUUCCUCUGCAAGCACAAGUUUAGGAAUGAACUGCCAGACCCAAGUGCUCAAUUGAAAUGGCUGCCUCUGAAUAAGGACAAGGACCGAUAUACCAAGUACAGGAUCUCGUCAUUGGAGAAAAAUUAUCUGCCUAAAAUGAUUGUCCCCGAGGAUCUCGGGAUACCUCUUGACCUACUUGAUAUGACUGUAUACAACCCUCCCGCUGCUCAGCUGCCCCUGGCUCCAGAAGAUGAAGAGCUGCUGCGUGAUGAUGAGGUUCUCACCCCUGUUAAACCAGAAGGUAUAAGGAAAAAAGAGAGGCCAACCGACAAAGGCAUGUCUUGGCUGGUCAAAACACAGUACAUUUCUCCACUUAGUACUGAUGCAGCCAAAAUGUCGAUCACUGAAAAGCAAGCAAAAGAAAGGCGAGAAUCAAGGGAGGGUCGUGAUAAUGUCCUCGAAAAUCUUAAUGAUAGACAGAAGCGGAUCAAAGCCAUUGCAGAAUCCUUCAAAGCCGCUAAAUCACGCCCUGUCCACCAGACUAAACGAGGGAUGGAACCAGAGUUUGUUCUCCCUUUGGUACCCGAUUUUGAUAGGUAUAAUGAUCCAUUUGUUAUGGUGAAUUUUGAUGGAGAUCCUACAGCUGAUUCAGAGCAGUACAACAAGCUAGAGAGAUCUGUACGUGAUGAAUGUGAAUCCCAGGCUCUGAUGAAAAGUUUUCAAGUCAGUGGUUCAGACCCUGCAAAACAAGAGAAAUUUCUGGCAUAUAUGGCUCCAUCACCCCACGAGCUUGUCAAGGACUUGGAUGAUGAAAAUGAAGACUUCCAGUACUCCUGGAUUCGGGAAUAUCACUGGGAAGUAAGGGGGGAUGACAAACAAGAUCCAACGACUUACCUUGUCUCAUUUGAUGACGAUGAUGCAAAAUAUUUGCCUCUUCCUACCAAGCUAGUAUUGCAGAAGAAGAAAGCUAAAGAGGGGAGAUCUGGGGAUGAAAUUGAGCAUUUUCCAGUGCCUUCUAGAAUUAUUGUGAGCAGGACAGCACAUGGUGAUGAGAUGGAGCACGGAGAAUCAUCCAGCAUGCAUGGGAAUUUAAAGCGACAAAGAUCUUCUGUUGAUGAUGAUCUUGAUGAGCAUCCGAGGCAUUCUCGUGUAGAAGAUAUGGGGCAGUAUAGUGAAGAAGACUAUUCUGAUUGAUCAAUUAGAUAUGGAAGGAUCGUCAUUUUCUUGCACCACCGAAUUUCAUGAGCACAUAUGAAUCUUUGAAGAUCUCAUAUGCAUUUGCUUUGGUGCCUCUAUAAGUAGUAAUAGGGUGCAGGGUUAAUGAAAGAACAUGCUUGAGUACAUUCGGGCAAUAGCAGAUUUUGAAGUGCAGAGUGGGCAAAGCAAGGCAGAGUGUAACUGGACCUUAAGACUGGUCUCAGAAGUGAUGAUAGAAGGUCUCAUCAUCAUGUAAAAAAGUCUCUGUAGUCUUGGGAGUGAUUCUCCACUGCUGUUUUGACGAUAUAGGCAACUGUUAUUCCCAUUUGAUUGUGUAAGUACAACAAUUUAUUUAUGUCAGGAUACUAGACAGUUGUGCUAUCGUAACUGUUUCUUUUCUGGUGGAAAUGAUAAUCAACAUAGCAAAGGUCAUGUAUCUGUGCUGCCAGGAAUGUUAAGGUGCACUUACUGAAGACCAAGAGUAGCAUUGCAAGAAGAGUAAACUGUGUUUUCAGUUUCUUUUUUGCAUGUUGUAACUGUGGUGUCCGUAGAAAAACUUGUUUUGGGGGUAUUUUUCUGCCUUCAGAAAAACAUUGUUUAUUUUUGCAAUGAUUCCUUCUCUAACUUGAGAGGAAUCGUAUUCUAAUCUACUACGGAGUGGUAUUUCUUGUAUUGUUCCAUUUAUAUGCAAAGUAAUGAAGAAGUAUCGUUGUAGAUGGAAGCACAAAUAUCAAACAACAGGUAUAUUAUUGAGAUAAUGUAGACACCACAUUUACCUGCUUAUCGUGACUAUUUUAAUUCAAGUGGUAUCAGCAGUACUUCUUGAAGUGAUCUUCAAGUGUUCUCAACUGUUGCUUGGAAUGAUGCCUUUGAGUUACCAUUGGAGAUUGGAAAGAUCCUUUGAUCAUCAACUUAUGUUGCCAGCUGGCUCAAAUUCUUAGUCACACUUGGUGGCAACCAGGUAUUAUUCUUCAUCAUGUAGUACUGUCAAAUAGCCUUUGCAAUUUUCUCUGACUUAAGUUAAUCUCUUACUGUUCAGGAAUUCAAUGGAUUUUAA
RNAcentral lists this ribosomal RNA (3323 nucleotides) under Triticum aestivum (bread wheat). RNAcentral describes it as "partial small subunit ribosomal RNA". Lineage: Eukaryota; Viridiplantae; Streptophyta; Magnoliopsida; Poales; Poaceae. The record is from RNAcentral.